Molecule: transfer RNA, 72 nt
Filed under: Camelus bactrianus (Bactrian camel)
Lineage: Eukaryota; Metazoa; Chordata; Mammalia; Artiodactyla; Camelidae
Also listed under: 2 other names
Rfam family: tRNA
About the family: Transfer RNA (tRNA) molecules are approximately 80 nucleotides in length. Their secondary structure includes four short double-helical elements and three loops (D, anti-codon, and T loops).
Source: Rfam by way of RNAcentral
GCGGUUAUAGCUCAGUGGUUUAGCAUGUGCCUAGCAUGCACAAGUUCCCGGGUUCAAUACCCAGUACCUCCA